Long non-coding RNA from Hypomesus transpacificus, 929 nucleotides. RefSeq lists it as uncharacterized. The record is from RefSeq and is a predicted model, not a curated record. The transcript has 2 exons. NCBI's taxonomy places the organism in Eukaryota, Metazoa, Chordata, Actinopteri, Osmeriformes, Osmeridae.
AUUUCAAACCCUUAUUCACAAUGUAAGAAUAUGUUUUACAACCAUACACAAAUCUCUAUAAGCGGUGUCUGAUUCUAAAUGUUUUUCUACAAUUAUGUUCAUACAGAACAAACAUGACUGGAUAAAAAAGAUCCUGGCAACAAGUCAAGAUAAAAUAUAAAAACAUUUUCCAGGCUGGGGGAAGGAACUUCUGCAGUAUGGGAAGGGGCUUCUGCAGCUGAUGAUGAGGAGACUGUGUCACUGUACUCCAGAAGGCCUGAGGUAUCAUGUAAAUCGUAUGAAAAUGCAUAUUUAGCCCGUAAUGGAUGAGAAGUCAUUUCUGAUCAGUUUAUUCUUUGCUCCAGAAGGGCAAUUUGUAUGCAGCAAGAAGGCAUCACAUGAGAAUAUACAACUCAAACAACACAACAAUUUAUACAAUAAAAGUCAGUUAUAUAGCACUCAUUAUAUUUGUAACAGGAUCCAGACGCAGUAGGCUACAGCCUGACAGCCAGCCUGGCAACAUAGUAAGUAUGGGCUAAAGGAAAUCUAAAUCAUGCACAAUUCCUGCUGUGCUAAUCAAUGGGUGGUUUAUAGAAUUCACAAACUGUCAGAUGUCUCUACUCAACAUCUGAAAAAGCUAAUUGAGCUGGCAGAUGCACAGAUUGCUGUCAGUAAAAGUUUCCAGGAUCUAGACCUUGGUAUUGAAAUCAAGAAGAAAACACUGAGGAAACUGUAUCUGGAGAUAAAGAAACUAGAAAAAUACGUGACUUCAAUCCACACUUAAGCAUAUCUGUAAAACAAUGUAUUAACCUCUCAUGUCUGAAAGCACGUCUCAAUAUCAAUGCUUCUUCAUCCAAAGAAUUCUUCAUCCUUAGUUCAGAAAUGGGCAUGCCAUGGUGCAGUAAGCAACACAGGUGAAUGGGACUUUAUACACUGCUCAAAAAAAUAAA